This 249-nucleotide ribosomal RNA is filed under the name uncultured bacterium. RNAcentral describes it as "partial 16S ribosomal RNA". It matches the Rfam family "Bacterial small subunit ribosomal RNA", at positions 15 to 253 of the family's 1533-position model. The record is from RNAcentral.
GAUCCUGGCUCAGGAUGAACGCUAGCGACAGGCCUAACACAUGCAAGUCGAGGGGCAGCGGAGAGGUAGCAAUACCUUUGCCGGCGACCGGCGCACGGGUGAGUAACACGUAUGUAAUCCACCUGUAACAGGGGGAUAACCCGGAGAAAUCCGGACUAAUACCCCAUAAUAUGGGUUCUCCGCAUGGAGGGUCCAUUAAAGAGAGCAAUUUUGGUUACAGACGAGCAUGCGCUCCAUUAGCCAGUUGGG